Oryza sativa Japonica Group (Japanese rice) is the source of this 5339-nucleotide non-coding RNA. The record is from RefSeq and is a predicted model, not a curated record. NCBI's taxonomy places the organism in Eukaryota, Viridiplantae, Streptophyta, Magnoliopsida, Poales, Poaceae.
UCUUCUAUGAUGUGAUCAACGGAUGUAUCCGUAGUAACCAUGGUCACAUUAGCCACGGCUCAUCAUCUCGUCGUGAAUCCCCUCCGCCUCCGCAAUCCGCGGCGGCACCACACCUCCCUCCCGUCCCGCACCUCCUCCUAGAUCACCGCCACCGAUCCCGCGUCCUCCACCGUAGCCGAAUCCCCUUCGCCGCGCCCAUCGUUGGAUCGAGCGCUGUCGUCAUAUCCACCUCCACCGCUGUCCAGUCUGCCGCCCCACAUCCCCGUCCCCGGCGUUUCUCCACCUCGCACUCCACGCUGCAUCGCCUGCCGUCGACGCUCGUCGCCGUCGUGCCCCGCCAUCGCCUGCCGACGGCCUCCAGCACCUACCUCCGCCUGUCUCCUCGCCUCCCGCCCCCUCGCUCUCCCCCAAACGCCACCGCCUCCAUCCACGCCACGCAGUCGAUCCCCGCUCUGCUCUCCUGCGUGCCCCCCUAUGCGUGCGCACUCUUCCUGCCGUGUGAUCUCCGUCACGCCGCCACAGAGAAUCACCGUCGCCUCCCACCACGUCAAGGCAGGGGUCGAGCAGGCCGGCAGGCCAUGGACGGCUGUGCCCAACGCUCUUGACAUGUACUACAUUGCUUCGUGCCAUUGCUCCCGUAGUGCUCGAUCAAAUGCCUUUAGUUUUUUUCCCCCAAAAAGUUAGGCAAAAAUUCAGUUCAGCCUAGACAUUCAUGCAGCCCCAAAAGUUCACCAUUAUUUAAUUAUUUCAAUUUUCAAUCAUGCUAUAAAAACCAUAAUGUUAGUCAUACUCUACCAUACUGCUAGCAAGUAAAAACAGCACCUACACUGACUCACCUUAAUGACAAUGACAAUUAGAUUUAAUGGUGGUUGCAGAAUUAUCACCCCACUUACAUGGUCAGGUUGUGACGAAAUAUCAUACAUACAUCUGGUCAGUAUAACACUAUAUCCUACCAUUUAUCCCUUGUUCUGCAUUUUUGUUGUAGAUGGACCUUUCUGUGCAAUUAAUUAAAGGCACUCAACUUUUGUACUAUGAUCUCUGAACAAAGAAAUUUUGUGAAGGGGGAAGUCUUUCUGAAAUUGACCAUCUGGAAAAAAAGGUUCUGACAUUGCUUUCUAUGAUCAACAGUCAAUUGUUACUAAAUUGCAGGGCCUAACCUUUGUAUGUGCUAUGAGUCAAUCCAAUGAAGGCAUAAAUUUUUAAUUAUCGUUGUCCAAUUCUGGUGUUGCCUUGAAUUGUGGGAGAGGUACUACUAACGUGCAUAUGACCAGGUGUCCUAUACAUUGUAGAUGAGAUCAUUUUGUGAAAAAUUAAAACCAUCUCAUUAUGGUAGUGUCUGAGUUGUGAAGUUGCUGAUGAAACAUCCAAACUGAAUGAAGUUUUUUUUGCUGUAGAUAAUGUGCUAAAUUUAUUACAAAUCAAAAUUCUACCUUGCCCAUCACCAUCGUUCUCCAUCAUGAUCGACCUUCUCUCCAGUCUCUCCAAGUAGACAAACCACAGCUUUGCUGUUGCAGAAGGCAAACCACAGCUCGUGUCCCUAGCGCAAGCGGGGAAUGAGAUCUCUCAUGAGAGUUUGAAGCGUGAAGGCUGUUUUUCUUGCGGGUUUCUUGUGUGAGAUUGGGGUUUCAUGUCUGUAUGUGUGUAUUUGUGUGGACAUCUAACUUUCUGGUGUUGUGCAGACCUAAGUAUCUUGGAUCCGCUUGUGAUCGAAGGUCUUGACUACUCUCUUUUGAUCCAUAGUAUUGUGUCAAAUAAAUUUGAUAUGUAGCUUUGGUGUCCUUAAAUGGCUUGGUUAUUUUAUAACUGUAGUGGUGGCAGCUUCGAAAUUUGCAUUGCUCAUGUAGACAGGGGACAAAUUAUUUUUUUUGGCAUGUGCUCUUUUGCUUGGAGUAUUGUGUGCCUAUAUAGCUGAUUGAGCUAUGUUUAGAAGCACUGAACAAGAAUCAUUACAGAAUAGGGGCACUGAAUAAAAUGUCUCUUCUCCGCAUGACCCUGAUUCUUAUUUCCUUAUUUUUGGGAUCGGUUUUAUCAUUCAUAUAUUCAAGCAUAUAGGUGCAAUGGUGAAGUUGAUUUGAUUCUCUGUUAUUGCUUAGUGUCUUCUAUAUAUUAUGGUAUUAAGAAAUCCAUUUCAGUACAUGCACCAUGUUUUUGUCUUAAUUUUCUGCUGUGCAGUUUACCCAUCUACCUUUCUGGUAGCUCUUUCACGUCAUGAUCCCCACAUCAUAAUCUAUAUAUUUCAGUUAUAGUUAGAGAGGAAAAGUCGAAUUUGUUAUGAGCUUAUGAGGAUUUAAUUGAUACCAAAAAUUGAUUUUUGUAGAGUUGCAUUUAAAAUAUGAAGAAGUUACUUGCAAUGGAUAACAAUGGUAGGGAUUCCGCCUCAAGAUCGUUGAAAAGAUCAUGUCCGACUUUCAUCCACCCAGACAUAGUCAUAGUCAUUGCUUGAUUGAGAUAUUUUUUCCUCCUAAUUUUACAAAUACCUCCCUUAGGUCCUUUUGCCGAUAUAACUAAUCUAAUUGAUACCAAGUUGACAAACAAGCGUGCCGCUGUUAACCAAAAUGAAAUCAAUGUUCCAAAAGACCGUGACAACUGUGAACAGAUCAGUAAGAACGAUAAGAUUCAGACAGCCUCAACAAUUGGAUUUGGUAGCCUACUCAUAAUGUUUAUAUUUUUUAAUAUGAUAUAUUUGUAAGGCUAACACCAACAUUACGAUUCUAUGGUACAUGCAAUGAAAAUGUGUGUUCUGUCAUGACGCCCGUGCAUCUACCAUCUACAGAGUCUACUUUUCCUCCCUGCCGCUACAGUGGCAUCUUCAACCUCCAGCCGGCUGGAGACAGAGCCCGAUGCCGCCAUUGCCGUCGAUUUCCCCUCCAAAUCCGGUCUCCUCUCUCGUGUUAUUUCAAAAUUAGUUGAGGGGAAAUAUUCCUCUUAUCCUCCUCUAUCCUUUCCCCCAAGAAUCGGACUUUAUCCCGAAGAAUCAACGCGGAAUCUAGCUCGAUUCGUGUUUAUCUCUCCAAACCAAACCCUAGAAAAUCCCGGCUCCGAUUCUCUCGUUGUUGGAUCGAUCUCUCUCCCAUGGCUAUAAAUAGAGUCCCCUCCCUCUCCUCUUUCGGCUGGCACCUCUACCUCUCUCCACCGUCGCUUGUAGCGUCGUCGCCGCGUUCGUCUUCUCUGUCCACCGCCGGCAGCCGCUCCAGCCGCCCCUAGCAGUCGCCUCGUCCCCAACCUGUGCCGCCACCUCCCUCGGCAUCGCAGCACCGAGGAGAAGCCCGUCCACCCCUCCGUUGCCGCUGCUCGUCGCCGGAAAGUCGCCGUCGUCGUCGUCCCGACUUCGCCGCCGUUCGGAGCUCGUCGCUGGUCGUCUUCCAUCGUCGUUCGUCGUCGUGCCGCCCCUUGCCUGGACGUAGGGUUGUGCGAGGCUAAGGCCUCGGGCUGAUGGCAAGAGACGGAGCAAGGCCUCGGGCUGACGGCAAGAGACGUUGCCUAGGGCUGCUUCAACCGAAAUCAAAAGAGAUGAACUCGGGGUGAGUUGCAGCUACCUUCUAGCUACAGCAAUGGAGUGGAUGUAACACCCUGAAAAUUCAAGACAAUCAAAAUCACUAGAAUUUUGAACUUUUUAAAAUUUUUGCAUCAUGCUGGAUGUUAUGGUUGCUUUUGCUUGCCAAACUAUAAAUUGUCACAAUGGAAAAUUAAACUAAAGUUAUACAACUAAGUAAUAAUUAUAAUAAUAAGAUAUUUAUUAUGAACCCUAUAAAUAUUUACGCACAAGAAAACAAAGCCAUAAAAAGGGAAGGUUAAUUACUAAUUUAAUUUAUGGAUCAAAUAUUAAAUACUUGAACAUGUGAUGCGUGCCAUGAAAUAUAAACACUUAGGAAAUGAUAAUCGUUCAAAUAAAUGGAACUCUAUCUAUAGAAUAGUUUUACUGGGAAAAAAUAAUUAGAUAUUAUAUAAUUUGAAUUGAAUCACAAAUGCUAAAUUAUAGAAAUCCAUGUGGUGGUAAAACCAAUCCAAGAAGAUAAACCAAUAUGUGUGAAAACAGAUAAAUACCAAAAUCCCAAAUAUAGGAAAUUAUAGAAUCUUUAAUAAACCUUAAAUAUUGGACAGUAUUAAAUUUUGGGCAAAUUCACAUUGAACACUUAAUACGGUCACCCAAAUGCUUAGGAGUAAAUAAAAAAUUAAUUUGCAACUUUUCUCAAUUUAUAAAUCAACCAAAGCCUUAAAAGUAAGAAAAUAGGAAAACUCAGAAAAAUAUAUAAUAAUAAUAAGGAUAUGUUCAAUAUUAAAUUUGAAUAUAAAUUUUGAUGGAAUAACAUAGAUUUUGUGUGAAACACAUUGUAACAAAAUAGGUGGCAAUAGUCCAUUUUCUAAAUUAGAAAAAACAUCUAAUAAAAUCCAAAUAAAUCGGCUAGCACUGUUCAUUGCCCCCUAGGUGCUCAACCCUGUCCCAUCGCCGCCCUCCCCCUGCCCGCGCUGCGCCUAGCCUUGCCCUGCCUUGCCGUGUCGCGCCUAGCCCUGCCGCGCCGCUGCCUUGCGCCCCGCGCCGCCGCACCCCAUCGUGUCGCCGUCGCCGUCGCUCAGACGUGCCGCGCGCCGUUGCUUCGCUCUGCGCGCGCUGCCGCGCCCCCUCGCGUCCCAUCGUGUCACGCGCCGUCGCCGUCUCCGAUCGCGUCGCCUGGAGCCCCACCCCUCCGCGCGUCACGUCGCCGUCGCCAUCACGUCGUCAUCAUCACCGCGCCGCGUGCCGUCACCAUCGCCGUCCCGUCGCCACUGCCGCGCCGAGCGCCGUCCUAUCGCCGCGCCGCGCUCCAUCGCAACGCCGUCACCCUUGAUCCCCGCGCCACUGCUGCGCUAUCGCGUCACCGCCGUCGCCAUCACCGCCUCGAGCCCCGCCCGCGCCGCGCACUGUUGUCGUCGCGCUCGCCAUCCCAACGCCGCGCGUCACCAUCGCCCCGAGCCCCGCGUCGCCGCGCCAUCCCGUCGACGUUUAAAGCCGGCCACCCCUCCCCCGAGCCCUAUAAAUACCCCCCCUUUCCCUUCCCUCCCCACGCCAUUCCCCCCAUCUUCUCCCCUUUUUGCUCUUUCUUCCCCUCCACCGACGCCGCAUUCCGCCGCCGCGCCGCCGCUGCCAUGCCCCGGCGUCUCGCCGCCGCCACGCCGCACCCCGCCGCCGUGUCCUCGCCGCCGUCGCCGCCGGUCCAGUAAGCCCUCCCGCCUCCCUUCGUCGCCGGUAGCCGCGCCGCUCGGCCGUGAGAGAGAGAGAGAGAGGAGAAAACAGAGAAAGCAGAGAGAGAAAAGAGAAUAGAGAAGAGAGGUUAGAGUGGGCCCCACGUGAUUAGUAAAUA